AUUUCGUCGGGAAAUCAAAGUAAAGUAAAUGUAAGCUAGAUAUUGCGCAUACGCCAUGUGAAGCGGGAAAUUCCACGAUAAUGGUGAUUCAGUAGCAAUGAGCUGCAGAUGCGGCAUAAACCUAAACAGCAUUCUCAAAACUGGCUUUCAUGUUUUUGGACCCGUUCACUAUAUGUGCUCCAUAUAUUUGUUUGUUUUUUUAUUUUUUUAUAUUUGAAGGGGGCCGGUCUGCAUUGUUAGCGCUUUUUUGUUUUUGCUGCUUUUGAGAUAAGAGCUUGGCUGGUGUUGUUGUAGUUGCAAACUGAUAAGGGUCCAAAGAGUCGGCACGCUUUGUAGAAUCCACCGAAAGCCCCCAGAAAAGCAAAUAAAUUCGAGGCUAUUGUCGAUUUUAUUUUUUAUCACAUGUGAUAAAUGAAUAUGGGAAAGCAGCCAAGCGAUUAGCGAACCAAAGGAAUAAACCGCUGAGGAUUUCACUGUUUUUCUUCUUCAGAACUUUGCUACUGAUCAAAACAUACUAUAUUUUAUAUAUAUAGUUUGAUGGCUGCGUAAUUACUUCCUAACUUCGAAAACAGUUGCUUUUGCGAGUUAAUUAAUUUGAAAAAAUGACCAUUAAAUUGAUUGCGCAUUUGACUUGAUUGCAGAAAAACCAGAAAAUGGCUUAAUUUAUUAAGCUGGCAAAGUAUGACACCGAAUUUAUGGCUGCAUAAAUCACACAUGUGUACUUACAUGUGUGUAUGCGGAUUAUACAUGUGUCUGAAUUUGAAUUCCCCAAACAACAAUUGAAAAGUCCCCCCACUUUUUUCUAUAUAUCUAGAUAUUUACAUUUACAUAUAUGUAUGUGUAUAUUUUCGCCAGACUUUUUUGCACACCCCAAUUUUCCGGCAAUUUCUUUUUUUUUUUUUUUUUUUGAGUUUUUGUGCAAGAAGUUAAAAAAUGGAAAAGUAAUGAAAAAAGCAACGACGACGCUAUGUCUGCCCGAUCUGCUUAUAAUUGGAUUUCCGCUGUGUGCUGAAGGGAGAGGGCUAUACUAGAGGGAGAGGGCGCUACUGUGCGAGUGAGUGGGCACUAGGCGGCGGCAGCUGUUUGAUGAUGAAUCUCAAGUCGCUGUCUCAUUACAACUUUCAAUUUCAAUUGCUUCUUUCGCUUCUAUUCGCCCUCUCGUUUUCGCAUUAUGCUUAGCAUCUACGCUCUCACGCAUGGCUCUUAUUUUAGGCUACACUGCGAAUAACUUUCGUAAUUUUACAACCUUUAAUGGCGAAUUAUAAGUGUCUAUUUAUGCAUCUCAAUUGCCUUCUAUAGUUCACCUAUUAAUUAUGUUUAAUUGAUUGGAUUUGAAACAUCGAUAGAAGGCAUGCUCAGUAGUUCAACAAGUAUUUCUCUCAGUGCCGUAGCCCCCUCUCGCUCGCACUCCCAGCUGUGUUGGCGCCUGGCUCGCCUUCGCCUCAAUUCGAAUUCGUUAUUCGCCUCGCUUCGUUCGUUUUUCGCCGCCAACUGCUCUGCCCGCGGCGACAGCGACGCCGGCGCAGGGUCUCGUUUUCGCUUUCGCUUCGCAUCGUUUUCAUCGUUUUCAUCGUCUCCGUCAUAUAACAACGUUCGCCGUUCGCUCCGCACACACAAUUUGCGUUUAAAAAAUUCCGCAAAAACGCAAUUCGCGAAAAUCGUGCACAAUUCGUGAAACGGUAAAAAAUCGGUCGAAAACCGCGGAUUAAUCUGAAAAAUCAACAAAAUAUAACGGCGAAAGCGUAGACACAAUUAUGCAGGUGACAAAGUAAACCAAAUAUGUAUAUACGAAUUGAUUAGGAAAAUGAGAAAGCCUAAGGUAAA
Molecule: long non-coding RNA, 1824 nt
Organism: Drosophila simulans
Lineage: Eukaryota; Metazoa; Arthropoda; Insecta; Diptera; Drosophilidae
Exons: 2
Source: RefSeq, a predicted model, not a curated record